This 464-nucleotide ribosomal RNA is filed under the name uncultured bacterium. Its description in RNAcentral is "partial 16S ribosomal RNA". It matches the Rfam family "Bacterial small subunit ribosomal RNA", at positions 338 to 794 of the family's 1533-position model. The record is from RNAcentral.
CCUACGGGAGGCAGCAGUAGGGAAUCUUCCACAAUGGGCGGAAGCCUGAUGGAGCAACGCCGCGUGGGUGAAGAAGGUCUUCGGAUCGUAAAACCCUGUUGUUAGAGAAGAAAGUGCGUGAGAGUAACUGUUCACGUUUCGACGGUAUCUAACCAGAAAGCCACGGCUAACUACGUGCCAGCAGCCGCGGUACUACGUAGGUGGCAAGCGUUAUCCGGAUUUAUUGGGGGUAAAGGGAACGCAGGCGGUCUUUUAAGUCUGAUGUGAAAGCCUUCGGCUUAACCGGAGUAGUGCAUUGGAAACUGGGAGACGUGAGUGCAGAAGAGGAGAGUGGAACUCCAUGUGUAGCGGUGAAAUGCGUAGAUAUAUGGAAGAACACCAGUGGCGAAAGCGGCUCUCUGGUCUGUAACUGACGCUGAGGUUCGAAAGCGUGGGUAGCAAACAGGAUUAGAUACCCCAGUAGU